This 253-nucleotide ribosomal RNA is filed under the name uncultured bacterium. Its description in RNAcentral is "partial 16S ribosomal RNA". It matches the Rfam family "Bacterial small subunit ribosomal RNA", at positions 524 to 776 of the family's 1533-position model. The record is from RNAcentral.
GACAGAGGGGGCAAGCGUUGCUCGGAAUUACUGGGCGUAAAGGGCGCGUAGGCGGAAUGGCAAGUCGGUCGUGAAAUCCUUCGGCUCAACCGAAGAACGUCGAUCGAAACUGCCGUUCUUGAGGAUUGCAGAGGAGACUGGAAUUCCCGGUGUAGCGGUGAAAUGUGUAGAGAUCGGGAGGAACACCGGUGGCGAAGGCGGGUCUCUGGGCAAUUCCUGACGCUGAGGCGCGAAAGCUAGGGGAGCAAACAGG